Molecule: long non-coding RNA, 2312 nt
Filed under: Sus scrofa (pig)
Lineage: Eukaryota; Metazoa; Chordata; Mammalia; Artiodactyla; Suidae
Description: lncRNA (ENSSSCG00065076337.1)
Source: RNAcentral
GAACUUCUGCAUGCUGCAGGCAUGGCCAAACAAAACAAAAUACAAAAGUCCAACCAUAUGCUCUUUAUGAGAGAGACAUCUAAAACAUACGGAUACCAGUAGAUUGAAAUAAUGGAAUUAAGUUACGCCGUGGUAGGUAUUAUUACAUAAAACUUAAGGCAGAAUGCAUUACUAAGAGUAAAGGUCAUUGUAUAAUAAAAAUUCCCAAUCACCAGAAGUAUCUACUAAUUCUAGAUUCUACUUACGACUUCAAAACACAUGAAGCAAAAAUUGAUCAUCUACAAGGAGAAAUAUAUAAAUGUACAAUCACGGCGAGAGAUUUUAACACAUUAAAAUCCCGAGGGCAAUCCUUACCUCGUGCAGGAUGAGAACCAAGCAGUAGAAAAAUAAUCACCACGUCACCCUCAAGUGGUGAUUCUACAUGGCUCUUCAGACAGUCCCCAGAAAAGUAAAGCCCAUUUCCUCUCAGCAGAGAUCAGCUCAGUAGAACAUUGAAUUGGAUUGUCUUCCUUCCUUGUCUUGCUCUCCCCAGACCCCGUUCUUUUUCCCUUGGACUCAUCCCAGAGUAAAUUCUUGCAUGCAAAGUACUUCUCUCAACCCUGCUACUUUGUGGACCCAGGCUAAGACACUUGGUGAUACAAGCAGUUCUACAAACAAACCGUCCAAAUGGAUUCUAGUAUUGGACCAACUGGAUCCAGUAAGGAUCCCAGUCAUGUUGGUAAAUGGGGUGACAUUAACCCUUGGCACGCAGCAGCAUCACAGUUGCUGAGGUUUUCACCAGCAGUGAAUUGGAAUGGUGAAUUCGGAAGAUGAGGCAUUGCUUUAUGUAGUGGCAAUUCAUAAAAAAAUACGUGGUCAAUGUUAAUUAUAGGGAAUGUAGAGCUGGCUGACUCUGGUUGCUGGUCUUUAGAAGUCUUGUGAGAGGAGAGGAAAAUGGCAGCUUGAUUGGCCAACUGUCAACCUCAAGGAAUGCUGUGCAACUGGGAAAGUUUCCAGGACAACAGAGAAAUGUCCCUCUCCCCCCAACAGCCCUAGGAAGAUAGUUGCCAUUCAUCCUAGGCUUUAAUUGUGAGUACAGCUUGGUUACCAAGGAGAACACAGCCUUAAGGAGACUCUGAGGUCAGUGUCAGGGCCCAGCUAAGGAAACAGCAGACCUUGAGACAUGGGGUAAGGGUAUUUGAAUGGACAAAUCUGAGACCCUUGAACCCCACAUUCCUCUGAUCCCAGGAACUGUCCCUCCUCCUUCCUGGAGAGGAAUGGUCUUCCCUGGCUGCAGACACUGCGAAGACACCACUAGAGGCAGGAGCUUCACAAGGUGGGGUUCGUCCUAAGAUCUGCCUCUACCUCCUUUGUUUCCUCCAGACCAGCCGUCAAGUCAGGCGCAGCCCAAGCAAGAUGAUCCAGCUCCUCCUUUCGGGAGAUACCGUGUGUACUCAAAGGCUCGAAAGUGUUGGUUAACAGGCGCUAAAGGUGAACCAGAGACCUCAUGUUGGACUGGGUCUUAAGGAGCAGCCAAGGAAAGAUGCCUCCUUGUGUUUCAGUUUCUUCAACUGUCAAAUCUGAUUACGAGUGCCUGUCCAACCUACUUUAUAUACUUAUUAGAGUAAAUGAAGAAAUUAAUAUUAUAGUGAACUCUGCUAGGGACUAUACUAGGCACUUCACAUAAAUUAUUUAAUUAGGAUAAAAUUGGGCAAGUGUAAACACUUAAUCUAGUUCUAAACUUGUUUAGAACACAAACACAACAUUGUAAUCAACUACACACCAAUACAUUUUUUAAAAGAAGACUUAAAUGUGUUAUUUUUAAUAGCAUGCCCUAGGAAAAAUGCAGAUUUGUGAAACCUUGUUGCCUAAAAGGAAAGAAGAAAAGGAAGCCGGUGUUUCAAAAACUCAGACAUAUUAGAAUAUGGCAUUGAGUAAGCUGUUGUCUUGUUUGGGGGAAGGUGGACCAUCUGAAGAGGGCUUUAGGGACAGUUCUAGUCAUUGACCUUGGGAGAAGCAGGGUAGGAACAGUGCUGCUGCGGAAGCUGAGAGAGCAGUUCUGUGUCCAGUGGAGCACAGUGAACUCCUGGGUGGCACCUGUGGUGUCUUGGGUAACGCAUGGCCUCCCACCCAGACUGCCUCGGUUGGAAUCCCAGCUCUGGCGCUCAGCCCACUGGGGGAUAUUGGACAGGUAGUUACAAAACUCCAUUUUAUGGAGUUCCCUGGUGGCACAGCAGGUGAAGAAUUUGACCUUGGUAGUGCUGCAGCUCAGGUCACUGGUGUGGCAUGGGUUCCACCUCUGGCCUGGGAACUUCCGUAUGCCGGGGACACGG